AUUGAACGCUGGCGGCAGGCCUAACACAUGCAAGUCGAGCGGAUGAAGGGAGCUUGCUCCUGGAUUCAGCGGCGGACGGGUGAGUAAUGCCUAGGAAUCUGCCUGGUAGUGGGGGAUAACGUCCGGAAACGGGCGCUAAUACCGCAUACGCCCUGAGGGAGAAAGUGGGGGAUCUUCGGACCUCACGCUAUCAGAUGAGCCUAGGUCGGAUUAGCUAGUUGGUGGGGUAAAGGCCUACCAAGGCGACGAUCCGUAACUGGUCUGAGAGGAUGAUCAGUCACACUGGAACUGAGACACGGUCCAGACUCCUACGGGAGGCAGCAGUGGGGAAUAUUGGACAAUGGGCGAAAGCCUGAUCCAGCCAUGCCGCGUGUGUGAAGAAGGUCUUCGGAUUGUAAAGCACUUUAAGUUGGGAGGAAGGGCAGUAAGUUAAUACCUUGCUGUUUUGACGUUACCAACAGAAUAAGCUCCGGCUAACUUCGUG
This 484-nucleotide ribosomal RNA is filed under the name uncultured bacterium. Its description in RNAcentral is "partial 16S ribosomal RNA". It matches the Rfam family "Bacterial small subunit ribosomal RNA", at positions 30 to 507 of the family's 1533-position model. The record is from RNAcentral.